CCUGCCUUUCAGAGGGGGACAACAGUUGGAAACGACUGCUAAUACCGCAUGACACAUGACUGGGACAUCCCGGACAUGUCAAAGAUUUAUCGCUGAAAGAUGGCCUCGCGUCUGAUUAGAUAGUUGGUGAGGUAACGGCCCACCAAGUCGACGAUCAGUAGCCGGACUGAGAGGUUGACCGGCCACAUUGGGACUGAGAUACGGCCCAGACUCCUACGGGAGGCAGCAGUGGGGAAUAUUGGGCAAUGGACGCAAGUCUGACCCAGCAACGCCGCGUGAAGGAAGAAGGCUUUCGGGUUGUAAACUUCUUUGACAGGGGAAGAGUAGAAGACGGUACCCUGAAAACAAGCCACGGCUAACUACGUGCCAGCAGCCGCGGUAAUACGUAGGUGGCAAGCGUUGUCCGGAUUUACUGGGUGUAAAGGGCGUGUAGCCGGGUCGACAAGUCAGAUGUGAAAUCUGGAGGCUCAACCUCCAAACUGCAUUUGAAACUGUCGAUCUUGAGUAUCGGAGAGGUAAUCGGAAUUCCUUGUGUAGCGGUGAAAUGCGUAGAUAUAAGGAAGAACACCAGUGGCGAAGGCGGAUUACUGGACGACAACUGACGGUGAGGCGCGAAAGCGUGGGGAGCGAACAGGAUUAGAUACCCUGGUAGUCCACGCUGUAAACGAUCAAUACUA
Molecule: ribosomal RNA, 677 nt
Filed under: uncultured bacterium
Lineage: Bacteria
Description: bacterial SSU rRNA
Rfam family: Bacterial small subunit ribosomal RNA
Source: RNAcentral